RNAcentral lists this ribosomal RNA (406 nucleotides) under uncultured bacterium. Its description in RNAcentral is "partial 16S ribosomal RNA". It matches the Rfam family "Bacterial small subunit ribosomal RNA", at positions 29 to 526 of the family's 1533-position model. The record is from RNAcentral.
AUUGAACGCUGGCGGCAGGCCUAACACAUGCAAGUCGAACGAGUGGCGGACGGGUGAGUAAUGUCUGGGAAACUGCCCGCUGGAGGGGGAUAACUACUGGAAACGGUAGCUAAUACCGCAUACCCUCGGAUGUGACCAGAUGGGAUUAGCUUGUAGGUGAGGUAACGGCUCACCUAGGCGACGAUCCCUAGCUGGUCUGAGAGGAUGACCAGCCACACUGGAACGGAGACACGUGCCAGACGCGUACGGGAGGCAUCCGGGGGGAAUAUUGCACAAUGGGCGCAAGCCUGAUGCAGCCAUGCGGGGGGUAUGAAGAAGGCCUUCGGGUUGUAAAGUACUUUCAGCGGGGAGGCGUUACCCGCAGAAGAAGCACCGGCUAACUCCGUGCCAGCAGCCGCGGUAAUAC